UACGUAGGCAGCGAGCGUUGUUCGGAGUUACUGGGCGUAAAGGGUGUGUAGGCGGUUGUUUAAGUUUGGUGUGAAAUCUCCCGGCUCAACUGGGAGGGUGCGCCGAAUACUGAAUGACUUCGAGUGCGGGAGAGGAAAGUGGAAUUCCUGGUGUAGCGGUGAAAUGCGUAGAUAUCAGGAAGAACACCCGUGGCGAAGGCGGCUCUCUGGAACGCAACUGACGCUGAGACGCGAAAGCGUGGGGAGCAAACAGG
RNAcentral lists this ribosomal RNA (254 nucleotides) under uncultured bacterium. Its description in RNAcentral is "partial 16S ribosomal RNA". It matches the Rfam family "Bacterial small subunit ribosomal RNA", at positions 524 to 776 of the family's 1533-position model. The record is from RNAcentral.